This 2892-nucleotide ribosomal RNA is filed under the name Phocaeicola vulgatus. RNAcentral's name for it is "Bacteroides vulgatus 23S ribosomal RNA". It matches the Rfam family "Bacterial large subunit ribosomal RNA". The record is from RNAcentral. Lineage: Bacteria; Pseudomonadati; Bacteroidota; Bacteroidia; Bacteroidales; Bacteroidaceae.
AUAAAGAAAGUAAAAAAGGGCGCAUGGCGGAUGCCUUGGCUCUCGGAGGCGAUGAAGGACGUGAUAAGCUGCGAUAAGCUUUGGGGAGGUGCAAAUGACCUUUGAUCCAGAGAUUUCCGAAUGGGACAACCCAAUAUCUUGAAGAGGUAUUAUCCAACGUUGUUGGAGGCUAACGCAGGGAACUGAAACAUCUUAGUACCUGCAGGAAAAGAAAAUAAACAAUGAUUCCCCCAGUAGUGGCGAGCGAACGGGGAACAGCCCAAACCAUCCAUGUUACGGCAUGGGUGGGGUUGUAGGACUACGCCGUUGCAUGAAGACAUCAGAGAAGAACUUUCUGGAAAGAAAGACCAUAGAGCAUGACAGUUGCGUAUUCGAAUGUUGUCGAAGCAUAGUAGUAUCCUGAGUAGCGCGGAGCACGAGGAAUUCUGCGUGAAUCUGCCGGGACCAUCCGGUAAGGCUAAAUACUCCCGAGAGACCGAUAGCGAACCAGUACCGUGAGGGAAAGGUGAAAAGCACUUCGAACAGAAGAGUGAAAUAGUUCCUGAAACCGUGCGCCUACAAGCGGUCGGAGCUCGUUAAUGAGUGACGGCGUGCCUUUUGCAUAAUGAACCUACGAGUUGCCUUUGCCGGCAAGGUUAAGUGUGACGACACACGUAUCCGAAGCGAAAGCGAGUCUGAACAGGGCGUAUAGUCGGCAGUGGCAGACGCGAAACCAAGUGAUCUACCCUUGGCCAGGUUGAAGGCUGGGUAACACCAGCUGGAGGACCGCACCAAUAAGCGUUGAAAAGCUUCUGGAUGAGCUGAGGGUAGGGGUGAAAGGCUAAUCAAACUUGGAGAUAGCUCGUACUCCCCGAAAUGCAUUUAGGUGCAGCCUUGCGGGUUACUGAUGUGAGGUAGAGCGACUGAUAAGAUGCGAGGGCUUCACCGCCUAUCAAGUCUUGACAAACUCCGAAUGCGCAUCAGUUCUACCGCAGGAGUGAGGGCAUGGGUGCUAAGGUCCGUGCCCGAGAGGAGAAGAAUCCGGACCACCUGCUAAGGUCCCGAAAUGACAGCUAAGUUAAACUAACGAAGUCUGACUGCUAAGACAGCUAGGAUGUUGGCUUGGAAGCAGCCAUUCAUUUAAAGAGUGCGUAACAGCUCACUAGUCGAGGAGUCGGGCGUGGAUAAUAAUCGGGUAUUAAGUUGUCUACCGAAGCAGUGGGAUCAUUUAUAUGAUCGGUAGGGGAGCAUUCCAGUCAGCGUCGAAGGCGUACCGUGAGGUAUUCUGGAGCGUCUGGAAAAGCAAAUGUAGGUAUAAGUAACGAUAAAGGGGGCGGGAAACCCCCUCGCCGAAAGACUAAGGUUUCCUGAUCAACGCUAAUCGGAUCAGGGUCAGUCGGGUCCUAAGGCUCAGCCGAACGGCGAUGCCGAUGGCAGAAACGGUUAAUAUUCCGUUACUACCUUCAGGAGUGACGUGGAGACGCAGUAGUGACAGUGCCGCCAUCUGACGGAAUAGAUGGUUGAAGGGUGUAGGAGUCGAUCAUGGCAGGCAAAUCCACCAUGAGAUCCGAACCUGAUAGUAUGCCGCGUCCUUCGGGACAAGGCAAUAGUGCGCGUAAGCAUGCUGCCGAGAAAAUCCGCUAAACUUAAUCCUGCAGGUACCCGUACCGCAAACGGACACACGUAGUCGGGAUGAAUAUUCUAAGGCGCUUGAGUGAUUCACGGUUAAGGAACUAGGCAAACUGACCCUGUAACUUCGGGAUAAAGGGUCCCUACCCUUUUAUGGGAGGGCGCAGAGAAUCGGUCCAGGCAACUGUUUAACAAAAACACAGGGCUGUGCCAAAUCGAAAGAUCCAGUAUACAGCCUGACACCUGCCCGGUGCUGGAAGGUUAAGAGGAGAUGUCAUCGAUAAGAGAAGCGUUGAAUUGAAGCCCCAGUAAACGGCGGCCGUAACUAUAACGGUCCUAAGGUAGCGAAAUUCCUUGUCGGGUAAGUUCCGACCUGCACGAAUGGUGUAAUGAUCUGGACGCUGUCUCAACCGUGAGCUCAGUGAAAUUGUAGUAUCGGUGAAGAUGCCGAUUACCCGCGAUGGGACGAAAAGACCCCGUGAACCUUUACUAUAGCUUAUCAUUGAAUCUGGGCACGUGAUGUGUAGGAUAGGUCGGAGGCUUUGAAGCAGGUACGCCAGUAUUUGUGGAGCCGCUGUUGAAAUACGACCCUUUAUUUGUUUGGAUUCUAACCCGUGGAUACGGGGACAUUGAUUGGUGGGUAGUUUGACUGGGGUGGUCGCCUCCAAAAGCGUAACGGAGGCUUCUAAAGGUGCCCUCCGGCCGAUUGGUAACCGGCCUUAGAGUGUAAUGGCAUAAGGGCGCUUGACUGGGAGACUGACAAGUCGAUCAGGUAGGAAACUAGAGCAUAGUGAUCCGGUGUUUCCGUAUGGAAGGGACAUCGCUCAAAGGAUAAAAGGUACUCCGGGGAUAACAGGCUGAUCCCUCCCAAGAGCUCAUAUCGACGGAGUGGUUUGGCACCUCGAUGUCGGCUCGUCACAUCCUGGGGCUGGAGAAGGUCCCAAGGGUUGGGCUGUUCGCCCAUUAAAGUGGCACGCGAGCUGGGUUCAGAACGUCGUGAGACAGUUCGGUCUCUAUCUAUCGUGGGCGUAUGAAAUUUGCGUGGCUCUGACACUAGUACGAGAGGACCGUGUUGGACAGACCUCUGGUUUGCCGGUUGUGCCGCCAGGUGCAUUGCCGGGUAUCUAAGUCUGGAUCGGAUAAGUGCUGAAAGCAUCUAAGUACGAAGCCGGCCACAAGAUUAGAUUUCUCAGGGUCGUUGUAGACUACGACGUUGAUAGGAUGCAGGUGUAAAGAUGGAGACAUCAAAGCCGAGCAUUACUAAUUGCCCGUUCACUUUCCUUA